GAUGAACGCUGGCGGCGUGCCUAAUACAUGCAAGUCGAGCGAACGGACGAGAAGCUUGCUUCUCUGAUGUUAGCGGCGGACGGGUGAGUAACACGUGGAUAACCUACCUAUAAGACUGGGAUAACUUCGGGAAACCGGAGCUAAUACCGGAUAAUAUUUUGAACCGCAUGGUUCAAAAGUGAAAGACGGUCUUGCUGUCACUUAUAGAUGGAUCCGCGCUGCAUUAGCUAGUUGGUAAGGUAACGGCUUACCAAGGCGACGAUGCAUAGCCGACCUGAGAGGGUGAUCGGCCACACUGGAACUGAGACACGGUCCAUACUCCUGCGGGAGGCAGCAGUAGGGAAUCUUCCGCAAUGGGCGAAAGCCUGACGGAGCAACGCCGCGUGAGUGAUGAAGGUCUUCGGAUCGUAAAACUCUGUUAUUAGGGAAGAACAUAUGUGUAAGUAACUGUGCACAUCUUGACGGUACCUAAUCAGAAAGCCACGGCUAACUACGUG
This 497-nucleotide ribosomal RNA is filed under the name uncultured bacterium. RNAcentral's name for it is "partial 16S ribosomal RNA". It matches the Rfam family "Bacterial small subunit ribosomal RNA", at positions 28 to 507 of the family's 1533-position model. The record is from RNAcentral.